CCCUUCGGGGUGUGACUGCGUACCUUUUGUAUAAUGGGUCAGCGACUUAUAUUCUGUAGCAAGGUUAACCGUAUAGGGGAGCCGGAGGGAAACCGAGUCUUAAUUGGGCGUUAAGUUGCAGGGUAUAGACCCGAAACCCGGUGAUCUAGCCAUGGGCAGGUUGAAGGUUGGGUAACACUAACUGGAGGACCGAACCGACUAAUGUUGAAAAAUUAGCGGAUGACCUGUGGCUGGGGGUGAAAGGCCAAUCAAACCGGGAGAUAGCUGGUUCUCCCCGAAAGCUAUUUAGGUAGCGCCUCGUGAAUUCAUCUCCGGGGGUAGAGCACUGUUUCGGCUAGGGGGCCAUCCCGGCUUACCAACCCGAUGCAAACUGCGAAUACCGGAGAAUGUUAUCACGGGAGACACACGGCGGGUGCUAACGUCCGUCGUGAAGAGGGAAACAACCCAGACCGCCAGCUAAGGUCCCAAAGUCAUGGUUAAGUGGGAAACGAUGUGGGAAGGCCCAGACAGCCAGGAUGUUGGCUUAGAAGCAGCCAUCAUUUAAAGAAAGCGUAAUAGCUCACUGGUCGAGUCGGCCUGCGCGGAAGAUGUAACGGGGCUAAACCAUGCACCGAAGCUGCGGCAGCGAACGUAUCACCCAAGACAACUUUACGGAGUUGACGAUUGACGGAGCGAAGCGACGUCAAAGCGUUCAUUAAAGUCGAGUUGGCUUAGGGAUACGUUCGUUGGGUAGGGGAGCGUUCUGUAAGCCUGUGAAGGUGUGUCGUGAGGCAUGCUGGAGGUAUCAGAAGUGCGAAUGCUGACAUAAGUAACGAUAAAGCGGGUGAAAAGCCCGCUCGCCGGAAGACCAAGGGUUCCUGUCCAACGUUAAUCGGGGCAGGGUGAGUCGACCCCUAAGGCGAGGCCGAAAGGCGUAGUCGAUGGGAAACGGGUUAAUAUUCCCGUACUUGGUGUUACUGCGAAGGGGGGACGGAGAAGGCUAUGUUGGCCGGGCGACGGUUGUCCCGGUUUAAGCGUGUAGGUGUGUGUUCCAGGUAAAUCCGGUUCACUUUAACACUGAGGCGUGACGACGAGGCACUACGGUGCUGAAGCAACAAAUGCCCUGCUUCCAGGAAAAGCCUCUAAGCAUCAGGUAACAUCAAAUCGUACCCCAAACCGACACAGGUGGUCAGGUAGAGAAUACCAAGGCGCUUGAGAGAACUCGGGUGAAGGAACUA
Molecule: ribosomal RNA, 1217 nt
Filed under: Salmonella enterica subsp. enterica serovar Typhimurium
Lineage: Bacteria; Pseudomonadati; Pseudomonadota; Gammaproteobacteria; Enterobacterales; Enterobacteriaceae
Description: partial 23S ribosomal RNA
Rfam family: Bacterial large subunit ribosomal RNA
Source: RNAcentral